This 1017-nucleotide long non-coding RNA is filed under the name Salmo salar (Atlantic salmon). RNAcentral's name for it is "lncRNA (ENSSSAG00000083281.1)". The record is from RNAcentral. Lineage: Eukaryota; Metazoa; Chordata; Actinopteri; Salmoniformes; Salmonidae.
UGCUUGAGGACAUGUUUUUAUUUAACCCAUUUUAGAAUAAGGCUGUAACGUAACAAAAUGUGGAAAAGUCAAGGGUUCUGUCAUGGCUGUCAAAAGGAGAGGACCAAGGCUACCAGGCUACCAGGCUACAAGGCUACUAGGCUACAAGGCUACUAGGCUACAAGGCUACUAGGCUACCAGGCUUCAAGGCUACCAGGCUACAAGGGUACUAGGCUACCAGGCUACUAGGCUACAAGGCUACAAGGCUACUAGGCUACAAGGCAACAAGGCUACUAGGCUACCAGGCUACAAGGCUACAAGGGUACUAGGCUACCAGGCUACAAGGCUACAAGGCUACUAGGCUCAAGGGUACUAGGUUACAAGGCUACAAGGCUACUAGGUUACAAGGCAACAAGGCUACUAGGCUACAUGUCUACUAGGCUACUACUCUACUAGGCUACAAGGCUACUAAGCUACAAGGGUACUAGGCUACUAGGCUACUACUCUACUAGGCUACUAGGCUACAAGGCUACUAGGCUACAAGGGUACUAGGCUACUAGGCUACUACUCUACUAGGCUACUAGGCUACAAGGCUACUAGGCUACAAGGCUACUAGGCUACUAGGCUACUACUCUACCAGGCUACUAGGCUACCAGGCUACUAGGCUACUUUUUCCUUCUUCCAAUUAAAUACUUCAACCACUAGAAACUGUGCAUAUACAUGGUGUAAAGUUUUCCGGGAGGAAAGCACAUUCUCACGUCAAGUUCAGAUAUUACAAAUUAUAACUUUUGCAUGAAAACUGGCGCACGCACAUUUUAGGGUCUAUUUUGUAUGUGCCCACGGUUUAUAGACGAGGCCCCAGCUGAGGAAGAUAGAGGAGAUGGUGAAGCAGAAUGGAGGACACUAUUACACCAAGGAGGUGUAUCAGGAGGCUCAGAGGAAGAUCAGAGGAGGAGGAGAGGAAAGAGGAGGAGGAAGCUAGAUGACAGGAAGAGGAGAGGAAGUUAAGAGAAGAUCAAAAUAAAAUGGUAGAAAGAG